RNAcentral lists this unclassified non-coding RNA (277 nucleotides) under sea anemone metagenome. Its description in RNAcentral is "partial contains small subunit ribosomal RNA and internal transcribed spacer 1". The stretch from base 1 to 158 matches the Rfam family "Eukaryotic small subunit ribosomal RNA", at positions 1678 to 1831 of the family's 1831-position model. The record is from RNAcentral.
GCUACUACCGAUUGAAUGGUUUAGUGAGGACUCCUGAUUGGCGCCGCCGCCCCGGCAACGUAGCAGCGGACUGCCGAAAAGUUGUUCAAACUUGAUCAUUUAGAGGAAGUAAAAGUCGUAACAAGGUUUCCGUAGGUGAACCUGCAGAAGGAUCAUGAUCUGAAGAUCGUCGUGUAGGGAAAUAGUGUUCAUCUCGGUUGUCUCCUCAUCAUUAAAACAAAUACUUUUUCACUUUUUUUCUCUCUUUUUUUUUUCUUUCUCUCUCUUUUCCUUUCCU